AAUUGAGAGGGCUUUAAAAAAUAGUCUUUGCACUUGUAGAUAUGCCAUAGGGAACUUUUAACAAAGGAAAAAAAAUACGAUUUGUGAUCAAAUGGUAUUUCACUAUUAUUUUGAUGCAUUUUCCGCACAAAAAUGACUUACCCUUCAAUGAAAGACUUGUCAAGCAAGAAGUCGUUAAGUUGCUUAAGACCAGCGUCAGAGGUGAGAUCAGAAAAACCCAUUUUUAAAGUAGUUGGUUGUU
Non-coding RNA from Schizosaccharomyces pombe (fission yeast), 241 nucleotides. The record is from the annotation of a GenBank genome assembly. NCBI's taxonomy places the organism in Eukaryota, Fungi, Ascomycota, Schizosaccharomycetes, Schizosaccharomycetales, Schizosaccharomycetaceae.